ACCGCUUUUGAGAGGGGAUCCUCUGCUUGUUCAUUAUAGUCAGGAAUCACAUACAAUAUCUUUCCUUUCAGAUACUGAUGUCCCCCGUUGCAUGCAGACAGUACAACUAUACAACUAUAUACAUAUACAUAGCCACUUCAAAGUUCAAACAGCUGUCUUGAAUGGCUGCUUCUCUAUCAGUUGGGUCUCGCUUCAGGAGACUAUGUUCCUGUGCAACUUCAAGCCUAGUACGCACGGACCCUGUCUCUUCCACAUUGGUAAGCGAAGGCACCAAUCACAUAGACAUGCUCGAACUCAACUCUCGAUUGAAGCUAUUUGUGAAACUGGGAAAAUUGAAUGAUGCCCGCAAGUUAUUCGAUAAAAUGCCUGCCAGAGACGAGGUUUCAUGGACCACUGUAAUAUCGGGCUAUGUCAGUGCAAUGAACUCUACAGAGGCAUUGGCUUUGUUCUCAUAUUUCUGGGUCCAACCAGGACUAUGGGUGGAUCCCUUCAUUCUUAGCCUUGCGCUCAAGGCUUGUGGACAAAAUUUGAAUGUGAAUUAUGGUGAAUCAUUGCAUGGAUAUUCAGUUAAAAGUGGAUUGGGUUACUCAGUUUUCGUCGGGAGUGCACUUCUUGACAUGUACGCAAAAGUUGGCAAAGUCGACCAUGGUUGUCGAAUCUUUAGUGAGAUGCCAAUAAGAAAUGUGGUAUCUUGGACUGCCAUCAUUACUGGACUCGUUCGUGCUGGUUAUAAUGAAGAUGGGUUAAUGUACUUCUGUGAAAUGGGUAGAUCAAAGGUGGAGUACGACUCACAUACAUUUGCUAUAGCAUUGAAGGCCUGUGCUGAUUUGGGUGCUCUUAAUUAUGGAAGGGAGCUUCAUUGUCAAACGAUGAAGAGAGGCUUUUAUGAGACCUCUUACGUGGCUAACACUCUUGCAACUAUGUAUAAUAAGUGUGGGAAGCUAGAUUACUGUUUGUUCUUGUUUGAAAGAAUGAUCACAAAAGAUGUCGCCUCUUGGACAACAAUUAUCACAAUGUAUGUUCAAAUGGGUCAAGAGGAAACGGCUAUUGAAGCGUUCAUCAGAAUGAGAAAUUCGGCUGUGAGUCCCAACGAGUUCACUUUUUCGAAAGUUAUUUCUGGUUGUGCCAACCUUGGGAGACUUGAAUGGGGGACACAGUUACAUGCACAUGUUUUACAUUUGGGCCUUGUGAAUUCUUUAUCUGUGGCCAAUUCCCUUAUGACCUUGUAUUCAAACUGUGGAUAUUUAACUUUUGCUUCAAUUAUGUUUCAUGAAAUGCCGAACAGAGAUGUUGUUUCAUGGAGCACAAUUAUUGCAGGGUAUCAUCAACAAGGCUAUGGGGAAGAAGCUUUUGAGUAUCUAUCCUGGAUGAGAAGAGACGGCCCUAAACCAACUGAGUUUGCCUUUGCUAGUGUGCUUAGUGUGUCUGGGAGCAUGGCAAUUCUAGAUCAAGGGAAACAACUACACGCUCAUGUUCUUUCCGUUGGAUUACAAAGUAGAGCUAUGAUACAAAGUUCUUUGAUCCAUAUGUAUUCAAAAUGUGGGGGUAUAAAGGAGGCUGCAAAAGUAUUUGACGAGGUGGAAAGUGUUGAUAUAAUUUCGUGGACAGCCAUGAUUAAUGGAUAUGCUGAACAUGGAUACAGCCGAGAAGCAAUUUAUUUAUUUGAGAAGAUUCCUAGGGUAGAUUUGAGACCAGAUUCUGUGACCUUCAUCGGUGUCCUUACUGCUUGUAGCCAUGCUGGGCUUGUUGAUCUUGGUCUCAGAUAUUUCAAUUUGAUUAGUGAAGAAUACCAAAUUAAUCCUACAAGAGAGCACUAUGGCUGCAUGAUUGAUCUUCUUUGCAGAGCUGGACGAGUAAGUGAUGCUGAGCAAAUGAUCCAAACUAUGCCAUUUUAUCGUGAUGACGUUGUUUGGUCAACUCUACUUAGAGCAUGUAGAAUUCAUGGAGAUGUCGAUUGUGGGAAGCGUGCUGCUGAGAAGAUUCUUGAAUUAGAUCCAAAUUGUGCGGGUACUCACAUUACUCUUGCCAACUUAUAUGCUGCCAAAGGGCAGUGGAAAGAAGCAGCAAAUAUGAGGAAGUUGAUGAAGGAGAAGGGCGUAAUUAAGGAGCCCGGAUGGUCUUGGAUUAAGAUUAUGGACCAGGUUGCUGUGUUUGUAGCUGGAGAUAGGGCUCAUCCGCAAGUUGAAGAUAUAUACUGCUUGUUGGAUUUACUUGCUUCAAGGGAAGAAUUGACUCUUGAGGAAUUGAUUUCUAUUCUAAGUUCUAUUGAAGAUUAGACAAAGGUGGAAUUGUGGUUUAUUUUGCAUUUGCAAAUUGGGGUUAACCAGGUGAACGGGGUGAAUUGGGGGUGGGCUACAAAAGCAGACCAAAGGAAAAACCUACAAAGGAUCAUCCUUCUAGGAAAAGUGAGUAUGAUCCUUUUAUUAUUUAUUGGGGAAUUAAAAAUUUGUGUGACGCAUGAUUGUUUAUGGGGUUUCUUUGUUUAACAUAAUUAUACUUUCAAUCAGGCUGUAAUGUAGGCCCAUAACGGGCUUAACACAAUUCCUCAUCUUUGAUCCUCAUCAAUCAAAAUGUUAAUUCUUUCUGAUGUAUGGGAAUAAGUUCAAUUUUCUUCCUUAUAUCUUGCUUAUGGGAACAUUGAACUCUGUUUGUAUCUUGCACAGUCCCCUGUUAUUAUCGGAAAAUAGUGACUUUGUUCAUGGUUUUUAUUUGGAAAGGGCAGUUUUCUGUAACUUGUGUUUUAAUUAGUCAAAUUCCUUUUAAUAGGAAGAAUUGGUUGGUUUUUUAUUUAUUUUUUUCCCGAAUAUUAACGCUUCUGUUGUUUCAAAGAUUAUCAUCUUCGGUAAGUAAGUAUGUGUGCCUGCAUGAAUGUUACUUGCAUGUGCAGGAUUUACAUGCUCUUUUAGUUUGUCAAGAUCUGACCUUUAUAUCAACUAUAAUUUAAUGAAUGUUAUUUUCUCACUUUGACUGGAGACUCUGGACUGGCUGCUUGUCUGGUUUUGUUAGUUUUAGCAGAUGUUAUCCCAUCAUCAUCAUCCGAGCCUUUAUCCCAAAAGUUUGGGGUCGGCUACACGAGUCUAUGAAAACAUCACCACAUGUUCAUAUGUUAUCUGAACAUGUAAUUUUAUGAUGGAAGAACUAACGUUGUUUUUUUUUCUCUUUUUUGUGAGAUGUACUUCUGGUCAUCAUCAUGCCAUAAUGCAGGUCUUGAGCUGCUUUUUAUAUCUAAAUGGACUGCAAAAAGUUCAUCCAGGUGGUUGAGGAGAAAAAGAAGAGAGCUUUGGAGAAGAAGGAAUGCAGGCCCAUUGAAAUGGGAGCAGAAAUUGGAAGCUGCUACAAAAGCAAAGCCUGAUGCAGAAGCCAAAGAUAAGAAAUCAAGGGCUUCAAAGCACAAAAGGCCAAGAAAGAGUAGGAGACCUCACAAAAAACAUAGAAAGCAUGCACACUCAG
This is an RNA transcript of Tripterygium wilfordii, 3450 nucleotides long. It is a transcript of the gene named putative pentatricopeptide repeat-containing protein At3g47840, with no coding region annotated. NCBI's taxonomy places the organism in Eukaryota, Viridiplantae, Streptophyta, Magnoliopsida, Celastrales, Celastraceae. The record is from RefSeq and is a predicted model, not a curated record. The transcript is spliced from 2 exons.